RNAcentral lists this ribosomal RNA (433 nucleotides) under uncultured bacterium. RNAcentral's name for it is "partial 16S ribosomal RNA". It matches the Rfam family "Bacterial small subunit ribosomal RNA", at positions 29 to 507 of the family's 1533-position model. The record is from RNAcentral.
AGCGAACGCUGGCGGCAGGCCUAACACAUGCAAGUCGAACGAACUCUUCGGAGUUAGUGGCGGACGGGUGAGUAACACGUUGGAACGUGCCUUUAGGUUCUGAAUAACUCAGGGAAACUUGUGCUAAUACCUAAUUUGCCCUUCGGGGGAAAGAUUUAUCGCCUUUAGAGCGGCCCGCGUCUGAUUAGCUAGUUGGUGAGGUAAAGGCUCACCAAGGCGACGAUCAGUAGCUGGUCUGAGAGGAUGAUCAGCCACAUUGGGACUGAGACACGGCCCAAACUCCUACGGGAGGCAGCAGUGGGGAAUCUUGCGCAAUGGGCGAAAGCCUGACGCAGCCAUGCCGCGUGAAUGAUGAAGGUCUUAGGAUUGUAAAAUUCUUUCACCGGGGACGAUAAUGACGGUACCCGGAGAAGAAGCCCCGGCUAACUUCGUG